This 484-nucleotide ribosomal RNA is filed under the name uncultured bacterium. RNAcentral's name for it is "partial 16S ribosomal RNA". It matches the Rfam family "Bacterial small subunit ribosomal RNA", at positions 30 to 507 of the family's 1533-position model. The record is from RNAcentral.
AUUGAACGCUGGCGGCAGGCCUAACACAUGCAAGUCGAGCGGAUGAAGGGAGCUUGCUCCUGGAUUCAGCGGCGGACGGGUGAGUAAUGCCUAGGAAUCUGCUUGGUAGUGGGGGAUAACGUCCGGAAACGGGCGCUAAUACCGCAUACGUCCUGAGGGAGAAAGUGGGGGAUCUUCGGACCUCACGCUAUCAGAUGAGUCUAGGUCGGAUUAGCUAGUUGGUGGGGUAAAGGCCUACUAAGGCGACGAUCCGUAACUGGUCUGAGAGGAUGAUCAGUCACACUAGAACUGAGACACGGUCCAGAGUCCUACGGGAGGCAGCAGUGGGGAAUGUUGGACAAUAGGCGAAAGCCUGAUCCAGCCGUGCCGCGUGUGUGAAGAAGGUCUUCGGAUUGUAAAGCACUUUAAGUUGGGAGGAAGGGCAGUAAGUUAAUACCUUGCUGUUUUGACGUUACCAACAGAAUAAGCACCGGCUAACUUCGUG